RNAcentral lists this ribosomal RNA (253 nucleotides) under uncultured bacterium. Its description in RNAcentral is "partial 16S ribosomal RNA". It matches the Rfam family "Bacterial small subunit ribosomal RNA", at positions 524 to 776 of the family's 1533-position model. The record is from RNAcentral.
UACAGAGGGUGCAAGCGUUAAUCGGAAUGACUGGGCGUAAAGGGCGAGUAGGCGGGAGAAUAAGUGAGGUGAUAAAGACACGGGCUUAACCUGUGGAUAGGACUUCAGACUGUUUUUCUAGAGAGCAGUAGAGGGGAAAGGAAUUUCCGAAGGAGCGGUAAAAUGCGUAGAUCUCGGAAGGAACACCAGUGGCGAAGGCGUUUUUCUGGACUGUAUCUGACGCUGAGGCGCGAAAGCGUGGGGAUCAAACAGG